RNAcentral lists this ribosomal RNA (433 nucleotides) under uncultured bacterium. RNAcentral's name for it is "partial 16S ribosomal RNA". It matches the Rfam family "Bacterial small subunit ribosomal RNA", at positions 29 to 507 of the family's 1533-position model. The record is from RNAcentral.
AACGAACGCUGGCGGCAUGCCUAACACAUGCAAGUCGAACGAGACCUUCGGGUCUAGUGGCGCACGGGUGCGUAACGCGUGGGAACCUGCCCUUAGGUUCGGAAUAACUCCCCGAAAGGGGUGCUAAUACCGGAUAAUGUCUUCGGACCAAAGAUUUAUCGCCUUUGGGUGGGCCCGCGUUGGAUUAGCUGGUUGGUAGGGUAAAAGCCUACCAAGGCGGCGAUCCAUAGCUGGUCAGAGAGGCUGGUCCGCCACUCUGGGGGUGGGACACGGCCCAGACUCCUACGGAAGGCGGCAGUGCGUGAUAUUGCACCAUCGGGGAAGGCAUGAUGGAGCUAUGCUGGGUGAGCGAUGAAGGCCGGAGAGUUGUAAAGCUCUUUUACCCGGGAUGAUAAUGACGGUACCGAAAGAAUAAGCUCCGGCUAACUCCGUG